RNAcentral lists this ribosomal RNA (484 nucleotides) under uncultured bacterium. RNAcentral's name for it is "partial 16S ribosomal RNA". It matches the Rfam family "Bacterial small subunit ribosomal RNA", at positions 30 to 507 of the family's 1533-position model. The record is from RNAcentral.
AUUGAACGCUGGCGGCAGGCCUAACACAUGCAAGUCGAGCGGAUGAGGGGAGCUUGCUCCUGGAUUCAGCGGCGGACGGGUGAGUAAUGCCUAGGAAUCUGCCUGGUAGUGGGGGAUAACGUCCGGAAACGGGCGCUAAUACCGCACACGUCCUGAGGGAGAAAGUGGGGGAUCUUCGGACCUCACGCUAUCAGAUGAGCCUAGGUCGGAUUAGCUAGUUGGUGGGGUAAAGGCCUACCAAGGCGACGAUCCGUAACUGGUCUGAGAGGAUGAUCAGUCAACCGAGAACGUGAGCAACGUCCCAGAUCCUAAGGGAGGGAACAGGUGGGAAUAUUGGGCAAUUGGGGGAAACCUUGUCCAAGCCAGGCGCGGGUGGUGAAGAAGUUCUUGGAAUGGUAAGCACCUUUAGGUGGGGGGAAGGGCAGGUAGGUUAUACCUUGCCUGUUUGACGGUACCAACAGAAUAAGCACCGGCUAACUUCGUG